GAUGAACGCUGGCGGCGUGCCUAAUACAUGCAAGUCGAGCGACCAGACGAGGUUCUUGCUCCUCUCACGUUAGCGACGGACGGGUGAGUCACCCGUGGAUACCCUACCUAUAAGAAUGGGAUGACUUCGGCCAAACGGAUCUAAUACCCGAUCAUAUAUUGAAACGCGUGGUUCUUUGGUGCUAGCCCGUUUUGCUGUCCCUUUUAGAUAUUUCCUAGCUGGAUUAGCUAGUUGGUAAGGUAACGGCCUACCAAGGCGACGAUGCGUAGCCGACCUGAGAGGAUGACCGGCCACACUGGAACUGAGACACGGCCCAGACUCCUACGGGAGGCAGCAGUAGGGAAUCUUGGGCAAUGGGCGAAAGCCUGACGGAGCAAUGCCGCGUGAGUGAUGAAGGUCUUCGGGUCGUAAAGCACUGUUAUUAGGGAAGAAAAAAUGUGUAAGAAAACAUGGACGUGAUGACGGUACCUGAUCAGAAAGCAACGGCUAACUACGUG
Molecule: ribosomal RNA, 497 nt
Filed under: uncultured bacterium
Lineage: Bacteria
Description: partial 16S ribosomal RNA
Rfam family: Bacterial small subunit ribosomal RNA
Source: RNAcentral